GGGGGCGAAACAGGCUCGACACGCGUGGUAAAGACCCAUCUUUCGCUCGGCAUGGUUCCGCCGUCAUCGGGCCGUAUGACAAGUGCCAACGAUAACUUCGAGGCGCUCGCUGUCGCUGCAUAAGCGAUAAGCGCGGCACGGGGGGCGCCGGGCAACAGAAGCCCCCCACC
This 170-nucleotide transfer-messenger RNA is filed under the name Acidiphilium cryptum JF-5. RNAcentral describes it as "transfer-messenger RNA Acidi_crypt_JF5". It matches the Rfam family "Alphaproteobacteria transfer-messenger RNA", at positions 148 to 355 of the family's 355-position model. Rfam says of the family: Bacterial tmRNA, also known as 10Sa RNA or SsrA, is named for its dual tRNA and mRNA-like properties. Its role is to liberate the mRNA from a stalled ribosome. RNAcentral also lists the same sequence under 1 other name. Lineage: Bacteria; Pseudomonadati; Pseudomonadota; Alphaproteobacteria; Acetobacterales; Acidocellaceae. The record is from RNAcentral.